RNAcentral lists this ribosomal RNA (580 nucleotides) under uncultured bacterium. RNAcentral's name for it is "partial 16S ribosomal RNA". It matches the Rfam family "Bacterial small subunit ribosomal RNA", at positions 355 to 932 of the family's 1533-position model. The record is from RNAcentral.
UGGGGAAUUUUGGACAAUGGGCGAAAGCCUGGUCCAGCAAUGCCGCGUGUGUGAAGAAGGCCUUCGGGUUGUAAAGCACUUUUGUCCGGAAAGAAAUCCUUGGCUCUAAUACAGUCGGGGGAUGACGGUACCGGAAGAAUAAGCACCGGCUAACUACGUGCCAGCAGCCGCGGUAAUACGUAGGGUGCAAGCGUUAAUCGGAAUUACUGGGCGUAAAGCGUGCGCAGGCGGUUUGCUAAGACCGAUGUGAAAUCCCCGGGCUCAACCUGGGAACUGCAUUGGUGACUGGCAGGCUAGAGUAUGGCAGAGGGGGGUAGAAUUCCACGUGUAGCAGUGAAAUGCGUAGAGAUGUGGAGGAAUACCGAUGGCGAAGGCAGCCCCCUGGGCCAAUACUGACGCUCAUGCACGAAAGCGUGGGGAGCAAACAGGAUUAGAUACCCUGGUAGUCCACGCCCUAAAACGAUGUCAACUAGUUGUUGGGGAUUCAUUUCCUUAGUAACGUAGCUAACGCGUGAAGUUGACCGCCUGGGGAGUACGGUCGCAAGAUUAAAACUCAAAUGAAUUGACGGGGUCAUAGCUG